GACGAACGCUGGCGGCGUGCUUAACACAUGCAAGUCGAACGGAAAGGCCCUGCUUUUGUGGGGUGCUCGAGUAGCGAACGGGUGAGUAACACGUGAGUAACCUGCCCUUGACUUUGGGAUAACUUCAGGAAACUGGGGCUAAUACCGGAUAGGAGCUCCUGCUGCAUGGUGGGGGUUGGAAAGUUUCGGCGGUUGGGGAUGGACUCGCGGCUUAUCAGCUUGUUGGUGGGGUAGUGGCUUACCAAGGCUUUGACGGGUAGCCGGCCUGAGAGGGUGACCGGCCACAUUGGGACUGAGAUACGGCCCAGACUCCUACGGGAGGCAGCAGUGGGGAAUAUUGCACAAUGGGCGGAAGCCUGAUGCAGCAACGCCGCGUGCGGGAUAACGGCCUUCGGGUUGUAAACCGCUUUCGCCUGUGACGAAGCGUGAGUGACGGUAAUGGGUAAAGAAGCACCGGCUAACUACGUG
RNAcentral lists this ribosomal RNA (468 nucleotides) under uncultured bacterium. Its description in RNAcentral is "partial 16S ribosomal RNA". It matches the Rfam family "Bacterial small subunit ribosomal RNA", at positions 28 to 507 of the family's 1533-position model. The record is from RNAcentral.